Molecule: long non-coding RNA, 1679 nt
Organism: Eurypyga helias (sunbittern)
Lineage: Eukaryota; Metazoa; Chordata; Aves; Eurypygiformes; Eurypygidae
Exons: 2
Source: RefSeq, a predicted model, not a curated record
GUAUUCUCAAACGCCACAGAUGUUUCAAAGUUUGGAAGUGCAGACUUCCAGCAGCAGCUCUCCAAUCAUACUGAUGGGACAAGCCGUGUUAAACCAAGGGUUCGCCACUCCGCCUCCUUCCCAGCCAUCCUCUCUGCCACCUAUGCAACUCCAGCACCAACAGCAUCAGCAGCAACGCUACCUGCAGGUGCAAACACCAAGUUCUUUGCACAGCGAGCCACCCGAUUCUUUGCUCCUGCCACCUUACUCGCCACAGCAAGGAAAUCUGGGAUAUCAUCAGACACAGCAGCAGCAGCAGCAACUAACAUCAAGAAGAAGCAAUAGCUUAUCGGAAUCGUCAAACUUACCACAGCCACUGCGAUAAGAGUCCCACCAGCACAAUCAAUGCACGAUUAGCUUUAACCAAUGGGCACACAGGGCAGAAGAGAAUGACUCUGUAAUUACUGUUUCGGCUUUUGCACAAGUAUUUCCUUUCAAAGCUCUGUGACAGAAGUACGCCACAGAGCGCAGACUGCCACAGACAGCGCGUUUACGGCACGCCGGAUGCAGCUUGCGCUGUCACGCGAGCACGGUACGUACUGGCAGAGCAACACACAGAGGAACACUAUCCUGUACAGCCUCCGUCCCCCCUGGGUGCACGGGAGGAGGCGUUCAGUCUUGGCGUCUCACUGAAAGCGAUCUGGCGAUUCCAAAAGCCUGUCGACAGACUCAUGAGGUACUUGGCCUUCACUGUUUCGGUUCUUCUUUUGUGUAUGAAAAGCACUGCGUCAAAGGUCUAUCGAGGAGAGAACAAGAGAUUAUUUUUAUUAUGAUUAUUGUUAUUAUUUUGCACAACUGCACAGAGGACAAAACCUAGGCACUUUCUGUAAAGAGAAGUUUGUCUCCUUAUUCUUGUGGCCAAAUUAGCACAUCCAGUGGAGGAGAAAGCCCAGUCGUUGCUGAAGAUGUCAUAACCCUUGAUUUAGAGUCUGAAAAGUAUUAUGCAGCUUACCCUAACUGUUUGACCCGACUAGGAACAAACAAAUGAACCCACAACCCACACUGGACUGUUUUCUAUGUGAAUUGUGAUUGCGAAACAGAACCACAACCAUGCAACUCUCCGACACUGCAACACGGAUCCUUCUUCAACCUAAAUAACUCGCCUACUGCAAGUCUCUGGGGAAUAUGCACUGUGUUUUGGCCCACUGACUCGGGAUGCUGCAGACUAUUACAUAUCUCUUUCAUUAUAACAUUUAGGAUUGAAUUUUCCUUUGGGGAGGGGGGGAAAAAAAAAAGAAAGAAAUGCACUUUUCGCUUUUUUUGUAUGUUUUCUGUUGAUAUGUUUCUAAGAAAGAUUUUAUGUAAUUAUUAAAUAAAAAGUAGUGUAUUGUACAGCUGUUGUAAUAAUGACCUAUUUCUAUAUAAAAUAAAAUUAUAUGGAAUUAUGUGGAAAUUAUUUUGUAUAUGAAAUAUCAACUCAUUUCACAAGUAUAAAGAUAGUGCUUGUGCUUUUUUGUGAGUGGAUAUUUUGUAAUAAACUAAUGAAUUAGAAAUGGGUUUUUUUGUGAAGGAAACUGCUGUUUCAUGCUAUAUACAACUCAAACUAUUUUUUUUUUUUUUUUUGCCAUUUAAUGAUGGACAGUUGUCUCUAUUUGUAGAAUAAAAUAAAAUAGCCGAAAGGCUUUAUUGCAGGACUUGCA